Molecule: long non-coding RNA, 101 nt
Organism: Cebus imitator (Panamanian white-faced capuchin)
Lineage: Eukaryota; Metazoa; Chordata; Mammalia; Primates; Cebidae
Exons: 3
Source: RefSeq, a predicted model, not a curated record
UGAAACUAAUAGAAAGGAAUGUUUGGGUUAUGAUGAUAAGUGGUUGUAGAGACCAAAGUUUUAUCAUGCAGAUGAAGCCUCCAGGCUUCAGAGAGACAGAA